GACGAACGCUGGCGGCGUGCCUAACACAUGCAAGUCGAACGGUGAACGAGGGAGCUUGCUCCCUCCGGAUCAGUGGCGAACGGGUGAGUAACACGUGAGCAAUCUGCCCCGAACUCUGGGAUAAGCGUUGGAAACGACGUCUAAUACCGGAUACGACGCGGGAGGGCAUCCUCUCCGCGUGGAAAGAACUUCGGUUCGGGAUGAGCUCGCGGCCUAUCAGCUUGUUGGUGAGGUAACGGCUCACCAAGGCGACGACGGGUAGCCGGCCUGAGAGGGUGACCGGCCACACUGGGACUGAGACACGGCCCAGACUCCUACGGGAGGCAGCAGUGGGGAAUAUUGCACAAUGGGCGCAAGCCUGAUGCAGCAACGCCGCGUGGGGGACGACGGCCUUCGGGUUGUAAACCUCUUUUAGCAGGGAAGAAGCGAAAGUGACGGUACCUGCAGAAAAAGCACCGGCUAACUACGUG
This 470-nucleotide ribosomal RNA is filed under the name uncultured bacterium. Its description in RNAcentral is "partial 16S ribosomal RNA". It matches the Rfam family "Bacterial small subunit ribosomal RNA", at positions 28 to 507 of the family's 1533-position model. The record is from RNAcentral.